GAUGAAGAACGCAGCGAAAUGCGAUAAGUAAUGUGAAUUGCAGAAUUCAGUGAAUCAUCGAAUCUUUGAACGCACAUUGCGCCCCCUGGUAUUCCGGGGGGCAUGCCUGUCCGAGCGUCAUUACAACCCUCAAGCUCAGCUUGGUGUUGGGCCCCGCCGCCCCGGCGGCCCUAAAGUCAGUGGCGGUGCCGUCCGGCUCCGAGCGUAGUAAUUCUUCUCGCUCUGGAGGUCCGGUCGUGUGCUCGCCAGCAACCCCCAAUUUUUUUCAGGUUGACCUCGGAUCAGGUAGGGAUACCCGCUGAACUUAAGCAUAUCAAUAAGCGGAGGA
Molecule: unclassified non-coding RNA, 328 nt
Filed under: soil metagenome
Description: partial contains 5.8S ribosomal RNA, internal transcribed spacer 2, and large subunit ribosomal RNA
Rfam family: 5.8S ribosomal RNA (bases 1-120)
Source: RNAcentral